GACGAACGCUGGCGGCGUGCCUAAUACAUGCAAGUCGAGCGAAGUUUUUCUGGUGCUUGCACUAGAAAAACUUAGCGGCGAACGGGUGAGUAACACGUAAAGAACCUGCCUCAUAGACUGGGACAACUAUUGGAAACGAUAGCUAAUACCGGAUAACAGCAUUAACUGCAUGGUUGAUGUUUAAAAGUUGGUUUUGCUAACACUAUGAGAUGGCUUUGCGGUGCAUUAGCUAGUUGGUGGGGUAAAGGCCUACCAAGGCGACGAUGCAUAGCCGACCUGAGAGGGUGAUCGGCCACACUGGGACUGAGACACGGCCCAGACUCCUACGGGAGGCAGCAGUAGGGAAUCUUCCGCAAUGGGCGAAAGCCUGACGGAGCAACGCCGCGUGAGUGAAGAAGGAUUUCGGUUCGUAAAGCUCUGUUGUUAGGGAAGAAUGAGUGUGUAGUAACUAUACACAGUAGAGACGGUACCUAACCAGAAAGCCACGGCUAACUACGUG
This 499-nucleotide ribosomal RNA is filed under the name uncultured bacterium. RNAcentral's name for it is "partial 16S ribosomal RNA". It matches the Rfam family "Bacterial small subunit ribosomal RNA", at positions 28 to 507 of the family's 1533-position model. The record is from RNAcentral.